GAGACACGGCCCAGACUCCUACGGGAGGCAGCAGUAGGGAAUCUUCCGCAAUGGACGAAAGUCUGACGGAGCAACGCCGCGUGAGUGAUGAAGGUUUUCGGAUCGUAAAGCUCUGUUGUUAGGGAAGAACAAGUACCGUUCGAAUAGGGCGGUNCCUUGACGGUACCUAACCAGAAAGCCACGGCUAACUACGUGCCAGCAGCCGCGGUAAUACGUAGGUGGCAAGCGUUGUCCGGAAUUAUUGGGCGUAAAGGGCUCGCAGGCGGUUCCUUAAGUCUGAUGUGAAAGCCCCCGGCUCAACCGGGGAGGGUCAUUGGAAACUGGGGAACUUGAGUGCAGAAGAGGAGAGUGGAAUUCCACGUGUAGCGGUGAAAUGCGUAGAGAUGUGGAGGAACACCAGUGGCGAAGGCGACUCUCUGGUCUGUAACUGACGCUGAGGAGCGAAAGCGUGGGGAGCGAACAGGAUUAGAUACCCUGGUAGUCCACGCCGUAAACGAUGAGUGCUAAGUGUUAGGGGGUUUCCGCCCCUUAGUGCUGCAGCUAACGCAUUAAGCACUCCGCCUGGGGAGUACGGUCGCAAGACUGAAACUCAAAGGAAUUGACGGGGGCCCGCACAAGCGGUGGAGCAUGUGGUUUAAUUCGAAGCAACGCGAAGAACCUUACCAGGUCUUGACAUCCUCUGACAAUCCUAGAGAUAGGACGUCCCCUUCGGGGGCAGAGUGACAGGUGGUGCAUGGUUGUCGUCAGCUCGUGUCGUGAGAUGUUGGGUUAAGUCCCGCAACGAGCGCAACCCUUGAUCUUAGUUGCCAGCAUUCAGUUGGGCACUCUAAGGUGACUGCCGGUGACAAACCGGAGGAAGGUGGGGAUGACGU
RNAcentral lists this ribosomal RNA (872 nucleotides) under Bacillus subtilis. RNAcentral's name for it is "bacterial SSU rRNA". It matches the Rfam family "Bacterial small subunit ribosomal RNA", at positions 321 to 1185 of the family's 1533-position model. Lineage: Bacteria; Bacillati; Bacillota; Bacilli; Caryophanales; Bacillaceae. The record is from RNAcentral.